UGGAGGCUCUAUCGAAGCUUUCAAUGGUUUAACUAUACUGUACCAUUGUGAGUCAAUAUGAAGCCAAAAUAAAAAUAUUUUCUUAUGGUCGCCAGAUAACAGAUAACCUCCUGUCUUUUGGCAUUACCCAGGAAAAUAACAAAU
Dendronephthya gigantea is the source of this 144-nucleotide small nucleolar RNA. NCBI's taxonomy places the organism in Eukaryota, Metazoa, Cnidaria, Anthozoa, Malacalcyonacea, Nephtheidae. The record is from RefSeq and is a predicted model, not a curated record.